Molecule: ribosomal RNA, 505 nt
Filed under: uncultured bacterium
Lineage: Bacteria
Description: partial 16S ribosomal RNA
Rfam family: Bacterial small subunit ribosomal RNA
Source: RNAcentral
GACGAACGCUGGCGGCGUGCCUAAUACAUGCAAGUAGAACGCACAGUUUAUACCGUAGCUUGCUACACCAUAAACUGUGAGUUGCGAACGGGUGAGUAACGCGUAGGUAACCUGCCUGGUAGCGGGGGAUAACUAUUGGAAACGAUAGCUAAUACCGCAUAAUAUUAAUUAUUGCAUGAUAAUUGAUUGAAAGAUGCAAUUGCAUCACUACCAGAUGGACCUGCGUUGUAUUAGCUAGUAGGUGAGGUAACGGCUCACCUAGGCGACGAUACAUAGCCGACCUGAGAGGGUGAUCGGCCACACUGGGACUGAGACACGGCCCAGACUCCUACGGGAGGCAGCAGUAGGGAAUCUUCGGCAAUGGACGAAAGUCUGACCGAGCAACGCCGCGUGAGUGAAGAAGGUUUUCGGAUCGUAAAGCUCUGUUGUAAGAGAAGAACGGGUGUGAGAGUGGAAAGUUCACACUGUGACGGUAUCUUACCAGAAGGGGGCGGCUAACUACGUG